AGCUAAAAUAAUUAUGUAGAUAUAAUAGAAAACUAACUGUAUUUCGAUCGAACUAAUGCUUUAAACUAUAAAUUUAACAGCAAAUUUAAUAGCAAUAAUAAUUUUCUCAACAAAUAUCCAAAAAAAAACAUGUAAUGAAAAGAAAUAGCAAAAAGAAAAGCAAGGAGCUCACCUUUCGCAAGAAGUAGUGAUGCACUAUAGGAAGCUUAGAGUAUUAUUUAGGAAUUUUAAUUAUUAU
RNAcentral lists this unclassified non-coding RNA (238 nucleotides) under Hevea brasiliensis (rubber tree). Lineage: Eukaryota; Viridiplantae; Streptophyta; Magnoliopsida; Malpighiales; Euphorbiaceae. The record is from RNAcentral.